RNAcentral lists this unclassified non-coding RNA (284 nucleotides) under Hevea brasiliensis (rubber tree). Lineage: Eukaryota; Viridiplantae; Streptophyta; Magnoliopsida; Malpighiales; Euphorbiaceae. The record is from RNAcentral.
GAACAAAUGAGGCAAAUAUCGACCGAAGUCCAGACAUGGCAGCAAAAGGCUCGAUAUGCAGAGUCGGUAGCGAAUGUACUCAAGGGCAACAUCAAGCAAGCGAUAGCGCAGGCUGCUGCUCAGGGCAAGGAAGGAUGUGGUGACAGUGAAGUCGACAAUGCGGCCUCGUCCUACCACCCUUGCUCUGGGCCUGUGAGCGAGCAGAGUGCUUGCAAGUCGUGCAGGAACAAGGAGGCUUGCAUUGUGCUGAUGCCAUGCAGGCAUCUGUGUUUGUGCGAGGACUG